This 320-nucleotide ribosomal RNA is filed under the name uncultured eukaryote. Its description in RNAcentral is "partial 18S ribosomal RNA". It matches the Rfam family "Eukaryotic small subunit ribosomal RNA", at positions 1470 to 1796 of the family's 1831-position model. The record is from RNAcentral.
CCCUUAGAUGUUCUGGGCCGCACACGCGCUACACUGAAGGAGGCAGCGUGUACUCCUGGAUCGAAAGAUUUGGGUAACCCGCGAAUCUCCUUCGUGCUAGGGAUUGAGGUUUGCAAUUAUCCUUCAUGAACGAGGAAUUCCCAGUAAGUGCAAGUCAUAAGCUUGCGCUGAUUACGUCCCUGCCCUUUGUACACACCGCCCGUCGCUCCUACCGAUUGGGUGAUCCGGUGAAUGGUUCGGACUCUGGCUAUGCUAGCUACUAGCUACGUCAGGGAAAGUUCUGUGAACCUUAUCACUUGGAGGAAGGAGAAGUCGUAACA